GAAAGUAAAAAAGGGCGCAUGGCGGAUGCCUUGGCUCUCGGAGGCGAUGAAGGACGUGAUAAGCUGCGAUAAGCUUUGGGGAGGUGCAAAUGACCUUUGAUCCAGAGAUUUCCGAAUGGGACAACCCAAUAUCUUGAAGAGGUAUUAUCCAACGUUGUUGGAGGCUAACGCAGGGAACUGAAACAUCUUAGUACCUGCAGGAAAAGAAAAUAAACAAUGAUUCCCCCAGUAGUGGCGAGCGAACGGGGAACAGCCCAAACCAUCCAUGUUACGGCAUGGGUGGGGUUGUAGGACUACGCCGUUGCAUGAAGACAUCAGAGAAGAACUUUCUGGAAAGAAAGACCAUAGAGCAUGACAGUUGCGUAUUCGAAUGUUGUCGAAGCAUAGUAGUAUCCUGAGUAGCGCGGAGCACGAGGAAUUCUGCGUGAAUCUGCCGGGACCAUCCGGUAAGGCUAAAUACUCCCGAGAGACCGAUAGCGAACCAGUACCGUGAGGGAAAGGUGAAAAGCACUUCGAACAGAAGAGUGAAAUAGUUCCUGAAACCGUGCGCCUACAAGCGGUCGGAGCUCGUUGAUGAGUGACGGCGUGCCUUUUGCAUAAUGAACCUACGAGUUGCCUUUGCCGGCAAGGUUAAGUGUGACGACACACGUAUCCGAAGCGAAAGCGAGUCUGAACAGGGCGUAUAGUCGGCAGUGGCAGACGCGAAACCAAGUGAUCUACCCUUGGCCAGGUUGAAGGCUGGGUAACACCAGCUGGAGGACCGCACCAAUAAGCGUUGAAAAGCUUCUGGAUGAGCUGAGGGUAGGGGUGAAAGGCUAAUCAAACUUGGAGAUAGCUCGUACUCCCCGAAAUGCAUUUAGGUGCAGCCUUGCGGGUUACUGAUGUGAGGUAGAGCGACUGAUAAGAUGCGAGGGCUUCACCGCCUAUCAAGUCUUGACAAACUCCGAAUGCGCAUCAGUUCUACCGCAGGAGUGAGGGCAUGGGUGCUAAGGUCCGUGCCCGAGAGGAGAAGAAUCCGGACCACCUGCUAAGGUCCCGAAAUGACAGCUAAGUUAAACUAACGAAGUCUGACUGCUAAGACAGCUAGGAUGUUGGCUUGGAAGCAGCCAUUCAUUUAAAGAGUGCGUAACAGCUCACUAGUCGAGGAGUCGGGCGUGGAUAAUAAUCGGGUAUCAAGUUGUCUACCGAAGCAGUGGGAUCAUUUAUAUGAUCGGUAGGGGAGCAUUCCAGUCAGCGUCGAAGGCGUACCGUGAGGUAUUCUGGAGCGUCUGGAAAAGCAAAUGUAGGUAUAAGUAACGAUAAAGGGGGCGGGAAACCCCCUCGCCGAAAGACUAAGGUUUCCUGAUCAACGCUAAUCGGAUCAGGGUCAGUCGGGUCCUAAGGCUCAGCCGAACGGCGAUGCCGAUGGCAGAAACGGUUAAUAUUCCGUUACUACCUUCAGGAGUGACGUGGAGACGCAGUAGUGACAGUGCCGCCAUCUGACGGAAUAGAUGGUUGAAGGGUGUAGGAGUCGAUCAUGGCAGGCAAAUCCACCAUGAGAUCCGAACCUGACAGUAUGCCGCGUCCUUCGGGACAAGGCAAUAGUGCGCGUAAGCAUGCUGCCGAGAAAAUCCGCUAAACUUAAUCCUGCAGGUACCCGUACCGCAAACGGACACACGUAGUCGGGAUGAAUAUUCUAAGGCGCUUGAGUGAUUCACGGUUAAGGAACUAGGCAAACUGACCCUGUAACUUCGGGAUAAAGGGUCCCUACCCUUUUAUGGGAGGGCGCAGAGAAUCGGUCCAGGCAACUGUUUAACAAAAACACAGGGCUGUGCCAAAUCGAAAGAUCCAGUAUACAGCCUGACACCUGCCCGGUGCUGGAAGGUUAAGAGGAGAUGUCAUCGAUAAGAGAAGCGUUGAAUUGAAGCCCCAGUAAACGGCGGCCGUAACUAUAACGGUCCUAAGGUAGCGAAAUUCCUUGUCGGGUAAGUUC
Molecule: ribosomal RNA, 1972 nt
Filed under: human gut metagenome
Description: bacterial LSU rRNA
Rfam family: Bacterial large subunit ribosomal RNA
Source: RNAcentral